GACGAACGCUGGCGGCGUGCUUAACACAUGCAAGUCGAACGGUGAAGCGCCUUCCUUUUUGGUGGGUGUGGAUGAGUGGCGAACGGGUGAGUAACACGUGAGUAACCUGCCCCCUUCUUCUGGAUAACCGCAUGAAAGUGUGGCUAAUACGGGAUAUUCUGGGUCUGUCGCAUGAUGGGUCUGGGAAAGAUAUUGUUUCGGUGGGGGAUGGGCUCGCGGCCUAUCAGCUUGUUGGUGGGGUGAUGGCCUACCAAGGCGGUGACGAGUAGCCGGCCUGAGAGGGUGGGCGGUCCCACUGCUGCGAAGACGCCGACCCGACUCCGACAGGAGGCAGCAGGGGAUAAUAUGGCACAGGGGGCGGAAGGCUGAAGCAGCGACGCCGCGGGGGUGAUGGAGGCCGGCGGGUUGUGAACCUCUUUCGCGAGUGAAGCAGGGCUGCCUCGUUUGUGGGUGGGUUGACGGUAGCUGGAUAAGAAGCGCCGGCUAACUACGUG
This 494-nucleotide ribosomal RNA is filed under the name uncultured bacterium. RNAcentral's name for it is "partial 16S ribosomal RNA". It matches the Rfam family "Bacterial small subunit ribosomal RNA", at positions 28 to 507 of the family's 1533-position model. The record is from RNAcentral.